GGAGCGGUGGCAGAGCGGACGAAUGCAGUCGCCUUGAAAGCGACCGGCCCGUGAGGGCCCGGGGGUUCGAAUCCCCCCCGCUCCG
This 85-nucleotide transfer RNA is filed under the name Acidimicrobiia bacterium. RNAcentral's name for it is "tRNA-Ser". It matches the Rfam family "tRNA". Rfam says of the family: Transfer RNA (tRNA) molecules are approximately 80 nucleotides in length. Their secondary structure includes four short double-helical elements and three loops (D, anti-codon, and T loops). Further hydrogen bonds mediate the characteristic L-shaped molecular structure. tRNAs have two regions of fundamental functional importance: the anti-codon, which is responsible for specific mRNA codon recognition, and the 3' end, to which the tRNAs corresponding amino acid is attached (by aminoacyl-tRNA synthetases). tRNAs cope with the degeneracy of the genetic code in two manners: having more than one tRNA (with a specific anti-codon) for a particular amino acid; and 'wobble' base-pairing, i.e. permitting non-standard base-pairing at the 3rd anti-codon position. Lineage: Bacteria; Bacillati; Actinomycetota; Acidimicrobiia. The record is from RNAcentral.